AUUCAUCUGAGAAUUCAUCAUCAGUAAAGAGCAUCUCUGUCAAACCAUGAAGGCUCAGGCAAUUUUGUUCAUUGCUCUGAUUGUAGCUGCAACGCUUCUGAAAGCAGACUGUCACCAAAGGGGCCAAAAAAAUGAAAGGCCACAGAAAUCCAGUGUUCCAUCAUCCCAACCUCCAUACACAGAAAAACCAAUGAGUCGCCCAACUAGAUUGAACAGCAAUGAAGUCGAUAACAGUAAUGAAAAUAGAAAUUGAAAGGAGCUGCACAGAAGUGAUACUUACCUUCUGAACCGGCAUGUUACAGUUACAGCAAAAAUAACCGUACUGUUCUUCUGGAGAAUGCUGUCAAACUAACCUGAUCAUAUUUAGUAUAAAAACAGAAUGUUUAUUGACAAGCAAGUUGUCUUUU
Protopterus annectens (West African lungfish) is the source of this 407-nucleotide long non-coding RNA. RefSeq lists it as uncharacterized. Lineage: Eukaryota; Metazoa; Chordata; Ceratodontiformes; Protopteridae. The transcript is spliced from 3 exons. The record is from RefSeq and is a predicted model, not a curated record.